Hydra vulgaris (swiftwater hydra) is the source of this 1320-nucleotide long non-coding RNA. RefSeq lists it as uncharacterized. NCBI's taxonomy places the organism in Eukaryota, Metazoa, Cnidaria, Hydrozoa, Anthoathecata, Hydridae. The record is from RefSeq and is a predicted model, not a curated record.
AUAAAUUAAUAUACUGAGCCAACACUGAAGUUUUAUUGUUUCUAAAGGUUAAAUAGGUAGGUGCCAGAGGAGGAAAGUCAAGUAAAGCCUGCUAAGGCAUGCUAUCGGAAAAAUCUGCCCACCUUUUGCGGUGUGGCAAAGCUAGUUAACGGUCGUUUUUUGAAAUUUUUUUUUUGUGUGUGGUAGUGUUUGUAUAAUAGAACAUUUUGGCAGAAAAAUAUAAUUUAAAAUAAUAUUUAGUUUCAAAAUGUCAACCAAGCAAAAUAAAAAAAGAUUUUUGAUUGUGGACAAACACUUAAAAAAUCCAACUUUAUUGAUUAGAAAGUUGGCGAAAUCAUUAAAAAUAUCAAGAAGAACUGUAGAUACUGUUCUUAAACGGUUUACAGAAUAGAAAACUAUUCAGAGAAAACAAGGAAGUGGUCGAAAAAAACGCACAGCAAAUCCUAGAGCUCUCGAACGGUUGGAAGAACAUCCUGAUUGGUCUGAUAGAUUUCGAUCAAAAAAACUGAAGGUUUCCAAUUUUUUGUACACAAAUGGCGACAGAGACUAGGAUAUCAAAGUUUUAAAGUAGUUAAAAUGCCAAAUCGCAACGAUAAAUAAAAUUCAACCGAAAAGAGUCGAGCUCGAAAGUUGCAUGACAACUUGUUAACAAAGCAUAAUGGAUGCAUUUUGAUGGAUGACGAAACUUAUGUUAAAAUGGAUUUUAAACAAAUUCCUGGGCAGUGCUACUAUGCUUUUUAAAUAAGAGGAAAUGUGAGUGAUAAAUACAAGUAUGUAAUGAUUGAUAAAUUUUCGAAAAAAUUGAUGAUUUGGCAGUCACUUUGCUCUUGCAGCAAAAAAUCGCCAAUUCAUGUUUGUUUGGGCACAAUGAAAUCUUCGGAACACGUGAAAUGUUUUCUUCCUCGUAUAAAACGACUAAUUAAAGCUCAUAAAAGUACUUCAGUAUUGUUUUGGGCUGAUUUAGCCACAAUACAUUACUCAAAAGAUGCUCAAAAGUUUUACGAUGAUAAUGGAGUGAUGCUGGUUCCGAAAAAGAUGAAUCCUCCAAACUGCCCUGAAUUACGUCCUAUUGAAAAAUAUUGGGCCAUCAUAAAAAAGAAAUUGAAAUUAAGUGGAAAAAAAGUAAAAUCAGCUACAGAUUUGAAGAAAAAAUGGGAUUACGCUGCUAAAACUUACAAAAAUCACUCUGUCCAGAAACUUAUGGGAGGCAUCAAAAAGAAAGUCAGAAUUUUCUGUAAAAUUAAUUUUUUUUUGUUUUUUCCUUAUUAAUACGUAAUUUUUACAGUCUUAGUUUUUCAGAAAUAUAUUGAUUUAAAUACA